CGGGCUGAUGCUGCAGGUGUGGCCCCACCUGGCACGCUGGGCAGCCCUCGAUGCCUGCCCACGGAGAGGGCCAGCUCAGUCAGACCAGUUUCCUCGCAAACGUCUCCACAACAUGGUUCUACACCAGCCGCCCUGCUCGAGGGAGCCCCAGCGUCUGCGGAUAGAGAUGCCCCAGCUCUCGCCAGUCCACUCAUGGCACGACCCUGGUCACGCAUCUUUGCUCCCACACACAGAGCCCAGGACGCACCCUCCUGAGAGAAUGUGAGGGGCUCCACUCUGACCUCGGGAUCUUCCUCUCACCACGUAUCGGCAUCAACAUGGAAGGGCCAGAGCAACAGCUGGCACAUGCCCUUCCUUCCCCCGCCUUCCCAUUCCUUUCUCAGGCAUACCCUGUCCAUGCAGGAGCCCAGGUCCAUGGACAAUCUGCAAGAAAGGAAGGCGUGAGUGCCGCCCUCUGCGGGUUUUCUGGAAAGGCGACCGAUCGGUAAAGCCGCAGAGGCAGGAAAUCGCCCUUCUCAGAAGUAGGCGGGGACUGUCCCCUCUCCCACAAGUCCCACCGAGAGUGGGCUCCUAGGCUCCCUAGACAGGGAAAGGAGCCACUUGCUGUCACCUGCUUGCUACGGGGAUGUCACGUGGAUCUGGUCUCACCGUGUGCCGUGUGGGACGACGGCCGUGUUACAGGAAAGUGUUGCAACCGUGCUCAGCUCAGCAGUAUCGGCUGCCCCGAGCAGCUGGGAGGCCCAGCUCGGCCUCCAGAGCCUUGUAAAAAUUGAUAAAGUCGGAAAGCCACCCUUGGAGAAGAGGAAACUGAGGCGCACUCACCCGCCGCCAGAGGCAGGGCAUGGAUUCCAGCCCGAGAAGCCAACUCAGAGUCAUGCUCCAGACCCCUAAGCUAUAAUUUGUGUUCUCUAGCACUCGAGAUAUCUAGCGUUUAAUGUGGAAAAAUGGUUCCAUUCUGUCUCACCCCAUACCCCAAAAUAAACUUAGAUUAAAGGCAAAAAGCACAAUUAUAAAAACACUGGAGAAAAUACAAGAGCAUAUUCAUACACUCUCAGGAGACAAACAGAAUACAAAAUCCAAACCUUAAAGGAAAUAAUUGACAAUUUUGACUAUGUAAAAUUUAAAAACUUCUAUGGGAUGAAAACAGCACCGUUAGAAAGUUAAAUGUUAAGCAGCAGACUGCGAACACGUGUCUGCAAUAUAAACACAAAAAGUACUAAUAUUCAUCAUAUGUAAAGAACUCCCACAAAUCAAUAAGAAAUAAGCGAACAACCCAAUAGAAAAGUGGUAAAGGGUAAGAACAGAAAAAAUAUUAAAAUGAGUUAAUGACAAAAUAUCCAACUUCGCCAUUAAUCAUAGAAGUAAGGAGUUGAAACAUUUUAUGACAAAAUCCAUGUCACUCAGGUGAAGCACGGGUACAAUGACAUAGUCUGUGAAAAAAUGGGAGCAGCCUUUUGAGGGGUGAU
This is a non-coding RNA of Microcebus murinus (gray mouse lemur), 1466 nucleotides long. The record is from RefSeq and is a predicted model, not a curated record. NCBI's taxonomy places the organism in Eukaryota, Metazoa, Chordata, Mammalia, Primates, Cheirogaleidae.